AAGACUAUAGACCUGCGGAGUACCUGCGGAAGGAUCAUUACCGAGUUAUACAACUCCCAAACCCACUGUGAACCUUACCUCAGUUGCCUCGGCGGGAACGCCCCGGCCGCCUGCCCCCGCGCCGGCGCCGGACCCAGGCGCCCGCCGCAGGGACCCCAAACUCUCUUGCAUUACGCCCAGCGGGCGGAAUUUCUUCUCUGAGUUGCACAAGCAAAAACAAAUGAAUCAAAACUUUCAACA
RNAcentral lists this unclassified non-coding RNA (240 nucleotides) under soil metagenome. Its description in RNAcentral is "partial contains 5.8S ribosomal RNA, internal transcribed spacer 2, and large subunit ribosomal RNA". The record is from RNAcentral.